UUGAUUCUAAGUGUUGGCAGCAAUUUUGGAAAAACAAAGAGUGUUCACAAGAUGUCAUGUGUGAUGUCUUAACAUGAGAUAUCCUAUGUACCUGCUGGAGUUAAAGAACAUGUGCAAGCAGGAAAUGUCAUGUGUGAUGUCUUAACAUGAGAUAUCCUAUGUACCUGCUGGAGUUAAAGAACAUGUGCAAGCAGGAUUGUUUCAGAAUGCCACAUACAAUGACAAGGCUU
Molecule: long non-coding RNA, 230 nt
Filed under: Lathyrus oleraceus (garden pea)
Lineage: Eukaryota; Viridiplantae; Streptophyta; Magnoliopsida; Fabales; Fabaceae
Description: Pisum sativum (pea) long non-coding RNA (PSAT_LNC026892)
Source: RNAcentral